UUUUUUAUAUAUAUAGCUUCUUUGGGUACUUAUAAUGUAAAAUAAUGAAAAAAAUUUCUCGAACUCAAAUUUUGUGAACCAGGGGGGUGUGUCUUUUCCAACAAGCUAAAAAUGGCUCGCGCACAAAAUUUAAAAGCUGUAAUCAUAUUUUGAGUUAAUAGAUUGAAAAUUUGUCGGGUUUUUAAUUACUGUACAAAAUUUCAGACAAUUUGGUUUAGUUUAAGCCCUUUAACUAUUCAUUUUGUUCUAAAAAGUC
Molecule: non-coding RNA, 256 nt
Organism: Paramuricea clavata
Lineage: Eukaryota; Metazoa; Cnidaria; Anthozoa; Malacalcyonacea; Plexauridae
Source: the annotation of a GenBank genome assembly